UACAGAGGUCUCAAGCGUUGUUCGGAUUCAUUGGGCGUAAAGGGUGCGUAGGCGGCGCGGUAAGUCGGGUGUGAAAUCUCGGAGCUUAACUCCGAAACUGCAUUCGAUACUGCCGUGCUUGAGGACUGGAGAGGAGACUGGAAUUCCCGGUGUAGUGGUGAAAUGCGUAGAUAUCGGGAGGAACACCAGUGGCGAAGGCGACUUCCUGGCCUGUUCUUGACGCUGAGGCGCGAAAGCUAGGGUAGCAAACGGG
Molecule: ribosomal RNA, 253 nt
Filed under: uncultured bacterium
Lineage: Bacteria
Description: partial 16S ribosomal RNA
Rfam family: Bacterial small subunit ribosomal RNA
Source: RNAcentral